GAUGAACGCUGGCGGCGUGCCUAACACAUGCAAGUCGAACGGAGUUAUUAUUAUGAAGUCUUCGGAUGGAUUAAUGAUAACUUAGUGGCGGACGGGUGAGUAACGCGUGGGUAACCUGCCUCAUACAGGGGGAUAACAGUUGGAAACGACUGCUAAAACCGCAUAAUAUUGCGACAUCGCAUGAUGAUGCAAUUAAAUAUUUAUAGGUAUGAGAUGGGCCCGCGUCUGAUUAGCUAGUUGGUGGGGUAAUGGCCUACCAAGGCAACGAGCAGUAGCCGGCGUGAGGGAGGGACCGGCCACAUUGGGACUGAGACGCGGCCCAAACUCCUACGGGAGGCAGCAGUGGGGAAUAUUGCACAAUGGGGGAAACCCUGAUGCAGCGACGCCGCGUGAGUGAAGAAGUAUUUCGGUAUGUAAAGCUCUAUCAGCAGGGAAGAAAAUGACGGUACCUGACUAAGAAGCCCCGGCUAACUACGUGCCAGCAGCCGCGGUAA
Molecule: ribosomal RNA, 494 nt
Filed under: uncultured bacterium
Lineage: Bacteria
Description: partial 16S ribosomal RNA
Rfam family: Bacterial small subunit ribosomal RNA
Source: RNAcentral